GAUGAACGCUGGCGGCGUGCCUAAUACAUACAAGUCGAGCGAACAGACGAGGAGCUUGCUCCUCUGACGUUAGCGGCGGACGGGUGAGUAACACGUGGAUAACCUACCUAUAAGACUGGGAUAACUUCGGGAAACCGGAGCUAAUACCGGAUAAUAUAUUGAACCGCAUGGUUCAAUAGUGAAAGACGGUUUUGCUGUCACUUAUAGAUGGAUCCGCGCCGCAUUAGCUAGUUGGUAAGGUAACGGCUUACCAAGGCAACGAUGCGUAGCCGACCUGAGAGGGUGAUAGGCCACACUGGAACUGAGACACGGUCCAGACUACUACGGGAGGCAGCAGUAGGGAAUCUUCCGCAAUGGGCGAAAGCCUGACGGAGCAACGCCGCGUGAGUGAUGAAGGUCUUCGGAUCGUAAAACUCUGUUAUUAGGGAAGAACAAAUGUGUAAGUAACUAUGCACGUCUUGACGGUACCUAAUCAGAAAGCCACGGCUAACUACGUG
RNAcentral lists this ribosomal RNA (497 nucleotides) under uncultured bacterium. RNAcentral describes it as "partial 16S ribosomal RNA". It matches the Rfam family "Bacterial small subunit ribosomal RNA", at positions 28 to 507 of the family's 1533-position model. The record is from RNAcentral.